This 253-nucleotide ribosomal RNA is filed under the name uncultured bacterium. RNAcentral describes it as "partial 16S ribosomal RNA". It matches the Rfam family "Bacterial small subunit ribosomal RNA", at positions 524 to 776 of the family's 1533-position model. The record is from RNAcentral.
UACGAAGGGGGCUAGCGUUGCUCGGAUUUACUGGGCGUAAAGGGCGCGUAGGCGGAUGUUUAAGUCGGGGGUGAAAGCCCGGGGCUCAACCUCGGAAUUGCCUUCGAUACUGGACAUCUUGAGUACGGGAGAGGUGAGUGGAACUCCGAGUGUAGAGGUGAAAUUCGUAGAUAUUCGGAAGAACACCAGUGGCGAAGGCGACUCACUGGCCCGUUACUGACGCUGAGGCGCGAAAGCGUGGGGAGCAAACCGG